Molecule: ribosomal RNA, 612 nt
Filed under: uncultured bacterium
Lineage: Bacteria
Description: bacterial SSU rRNA
Rfam family: Bacterial small subunit ribosomal RNA
Source: RNAcentral
GCCCUUCCAGACUCCUACGGGAGGCAGCAGUGGGGAAUCUUCCGCAAUGGGCGAAAGCCUGACGGAGCAACGCCGCGUGAGUGAAGAAGGUCUUCGGAUCGUAAAGCUCUGUUGUCGGGGACGAAAGGGUAGACGAGGUAAUGCGUUUACUAAGACGGUACCCGACGAGGAAGCCACGGCUAACUACGUGCCAGCAGCCGCGGUAAUACGUAGGCGGCAAGCGUUGUCCGGAAUUAUUGGGCGUAAAGGGAGCGCAGGUGGGACGGUAAGUCCGUCUUAAAAGGCAGGGGCUCAGCCCCUGUAAGGGAUGGAAACUAUCGAUCUUGAGUGCCGGAGAGGAAAGCGGAAUUCCCAGUGUAGCGGUGAAAUGCGUAGAUAUUGGGAAGAACACCAGUGGCGAAGGCGGCUUUCUGGACGGCAACUGACACUGAGGCUCGAAAGCCAGGGGAGCGAACGGGAUUAGAUACCCCGGUAGUCCUGGCCGUAAACGAUGGAUACUAGGUGUGGGAGGUAUCGACCCCUACCGUGCCGGAGUUAACGCAAUAAGUAUCCCGCCUGGGGAGUACGGCCGCAAGGCUGAAACUCAAAGGAAUUGACGGGGGCCCGCACAAG